ACAAAGGGCAGCAAGUUCGCGAGGACAAGCAAAUCCCAUAAACCGUGGCUCAGUUCAGAUCGUAGGCUGCAACUCGCCUACGUGAAGGAGGAAUCGCUAGUAAUCGCAGGUCAGCAUACUGCGGUGAAUACGUUCCCGGGCCUUGUACACACCGCCCGUCACACCAUGGAAGUUGGCCACGCCCGAAGCCGUUACUCCAACCCUUGUGGAGGAGGACGUCGAAGGUGGGGCUGAUGACUGGGGUGAAGUCGUAACAAGGUAUCCGUACCGGAAGGUGCGGAUGGAUCACCUCCUAAC
RNAcentral lists this ribosomal RNA (297 nucleotides) under uncultured Synechococcus sp. RNAcentral's name for it is "partial 16S ribosomal RNA". It matches the Rfam family "Bacterial small subunit ribosomal RNA", at positions 1239 to 1533 of the family's 1533-position model. The record is from RNAcentral. Lineage: Bacteria; Bacillati; Cyanobacteriota; Cyanophyceae; Synechococcales; Synechococcaceae.